Pongo abelii (Sumatran orangutan) is the source of this 107-nucleotide small nuclear RNA. NCBI's taxonomy places the organism in Eukaryota, Metazoa, Chordata, Mammalia, Primates, Hominidae. The record is from Ensembl.
GUGCUCACUUCGGCAGCAAAUAUACUAAGAUUGGAACGAUAUAGAGAAAAUGAACAUGGUCCCUGCACAAGGAUGACAUGCAAAUUUGUGAAGCGUUCUAUAUUUUU